Molecule: ribosomal RNA, 459 nt
Filed under: uncultured bacterium
Lineage: Bacteria
Description: partial 16S ribosomal RNA
Rfam family: Bacterial small subunit ribosomal RNA
Source: RNAcentral
CCUACGGGAGGCAGCAGUGAGGAAUAUUGGUCAAUGGUCGAGAGACUGAACCAGCCAAGCCGCGUGAGGGAUGAAGGUACAGAGUAUCGUAAACCUCUUUUGUCAGGGAACAAAUGCGGGGACGCGUCCCCGUAUGCGUGUACCUGAAGAAAAAGCAUCGGCUAACUCCGUGCCAGGAGCCGCGGUACGACGGAGGAUGCGAGCGUUAUCCGGCUUUAUUGGGUUUAAAGGGUUCGCAGGCGGUCUGUUAAGUCGGCGGUAAAAGCCCGGGGCUCAACCCCGGCCCGCCGUUGAAACUGGCAGUCUCGAGUUGGAGAGAAGUAUGCGGAAUGCGCGGUGUAGCGGUGAAAUGCAUAGAUAUCGCGCAGAACUCCGAUUGCGAAGGCAGCAUGCCGGCUCCACACUGACGCUGAGGCACGAAAGCGUGGGUAUCGAACAGGAUUAGAUACCCGAGUAGUC